RNAcentral lists this long non-coding RNA (610 nucleotides) under Gossypium barbadense (sea-island cotton). Its description in RNAcentral is "long non-coding RNA (GBAR_LNC000656)". The record is from RNAcentral. Lineage: Eukaryota; Viridiplantae; Streptophyta; Magnoliopsida; Malvales; Malvaceae.
CCAUACCUUAACGUCAUGUAUAUUUCUAGGAAACCGAUUUGAUUAAGUCCUUUUUAGGAAAAGUGAUUAAUUUUGGAAAAUAUCUUUAUUGCGGAAGCUUUGCUUGUUUUCGUGUUAUUUUGAAAACAAUUACUGUUUUUGAAAACGCGCCCUAAAUCUAUCCAAUUUCAACAGUUAAAUAUAAAUAUUACCUAUCUUAAUGAAACAUAUAAAAACCAUCAAAAAUAAAUAAACGGCCUUAUUACAUUUAAAAGCCCAAAACCUCAAACGUAAUUAAAAAGAUGUCCAGUUCACCAGAAGAAAAUCAAACUUUCAGAACGGGUGGCCACUCCGAAUUCCCUCACAGCUCCAAGCCCACUAUGGUUGGGGAUUUCCUGCGUGGAUGAAAAUAAAAGGGGUGAGUUUGGGGAAACUCAGUGUGUAAGGAAAACUCAUUCAAAGCCCAAGUCAGCUCAAGCCCAUUAGGCCUAAGCCCAUUCAGGUAACAGUGGUACUGGGCCAGAGCCCUUUUCAGAUUACAAUAAACUGGGCCUUAGCCCCUUAUUCAGAUAACAGUAUGGCCCAUAGGCCCAUUUCAAAAUACAUGCAACAUCAAUAACAUAUGCAAGCC